AACGAACGCUGGCGGCAUGCCUAACACAUGCAAGUCGAACGAGACCUUCGGGUCUAGUGGCGCACGGGUGCGUAACGCGUGGGAACCUGCCCUUAGGUUCGGAAUAACUCCCCGAAAGGGGUGCUAAUACCGGAUAAUGUCUUCGGACCAAAGAUUUAUCGCCUUUGGAUGGGCCCGCGUUGGAUUAGCUAGUUGGUAGGGUAAAAGCCUACCAAGGCGACGAUCCAUAGCUGGUCUGAGAGGAUGAUCAGCCACACUGGGACUGAGACACGGCCCAGACUCCUACGGGGGGCAGCAGUGGGGAAUAUUGGACAAUGGGCGAAAGCCUGAUCCAGCAAUGCCGCGUGAGUGAUGAAGGCCUUAGGGUUGUAAAGCUCUUUUACCCGGGAUGAUAAUGACAGUACCGAGAGAAUAAGCCCCGGCUAACUCCGUG
RNAcentral lists this ribosomal RNA (433 nucleotides) under uncultured bacterium. RNAcentral's name for it is "partial 16S ribosomal RNA". It matches the Rfam family "Bacterial small subunit ribosomal RNA", at positions 29 to 507 of the family's 1533-position model. The record is from RNAcentral.